AGCAGCCGCGGUAAUUCCAGCUCCAAUAGCGUAUAUUAAAGUUGUUGCAGUUAAAAAGCUCGUAGUUGAAAUUCGAAAUUUGUCCUAUGGUCGGGCUUUACGGUCCGUACAGUAGUGGCGAAUUUCUACCUUCUGAAGAACCUUCAUGUCAUUAAUUUGGUGUGUUGGGAAAUCAGGACUGUUACUUUGAAAAAUUAGAGUGUUUAAAGCAGGCUUAAGUCUGAAUACAUUAGCAUGGAAUAAUGAAAUAGGACGGAUUGGUUCUAUUUUGUUGGUUUCUAGGAUCACCGUAAUGAUUAAUAGGGAUAGUUGGGGGCAUUAGUAUUCAAUUGUCAGAGGUGAAAUUCUUGGAUUUAUUGAAGACUAACUUCUGCGAAAGCAUUUGCCAAGGAUGUUUUCAUUAAUCAAGAACGAAAGUUAGGGGAUCGAAGACGAUCAGAUACCGUCGUA
This 450-nucleotide ribosomal RNA is filed under the name uncultured Entrophospora. RNAcentral's name for it is "SSU rRNA". It matches the Rfam family "Eukaryotic small subunit ribosomal RNA", at positions 569 to 1022 of the family's 1831-position model. Lineage: Eukaryota; Fungi; Glomeromycota; Glomeromycetes; Entrophosporales; Entrophosporaceae. The record is from RNAcentral.